GAGCGAACGCUGGCGGCAGGCCUAACACAUGCAAGUCGAACGAACUCUUCGGAGUUAGUGGCGGACGGGUGAGUAACACGUGGGAACGUGCCUUUUGGUUCGGAAUAACUCAGGGAAACUUGUGCUAAUACCGAAUGUGCCCUUCGGGGGAAAGAUUUAUCGCCAUUAGAGCGGCCCGCGUCUGAUUAGCUAGUUGGUGAGGUAACGGCUCACCAAGGCGACGAUCAGUAGCUGGUCUGAGAGGAUGACCAGCCACACUGGGACUGAGACACGGCCCAGACUCCUACGGGAGGCAGCAGUGGGGAAUCUUGCGCAAUGGGCGAAAGCCUGACGCAGCCAUGCCGCGUGAAUGAUGAAGGUCUUAGGAUUGUAAAAUUCUUUCACCGGGGACGAUAAUGACGGUACCCGGAGAAGAAGCCCCGGCUAACUUCGUG
This 434-nucleotide ribosomal RNA is filed under the name uncultured bacterium. RNAcentral's name for it is "partial 16S ribosomal RNA". It matches the Rfam family "Bacterial small subunit ribosomal RNA", at positions 27 to 507 of the family's 1533-position model. The record is from RNAcentral.